UACGUAGGGGGCAAGCGUUGUCCGGAUUUAUUGUGCGUAAAGAGCGUGUAGGCGGCCAAACAGGUCAGCUGUGAAAACUCGAGGCUCAACCUCGAGACGUCGGUUGAAACCGUAUGGCUAGAGUCCGGAAGAGGAGAGUGGAAUUCCCGGUGUAGCGGUGAAAUGCGCAGAUAUCGGGAAGAACACCCGUGGCGAAGGCGGCUCUCUGGGACGGUACUGACGCUGAGACGCGAAAGCGUGGGGAGCAAACAGG
This 253-nucleotide ribosomal RNA is filed under the name uncultured bacterium. RNAcentral's name for it is "partial 16S ribosomal RNA". It matches the Rfam family "Bacterial small subunit ribosomal RNA", at positions 524 to 776 of the family's 1533-position model. The record is from RNAcentral.